Molecule: ribosomal RNA, 97 nt
Filed under: Periophthalmus magnuspinnatus
Lineage: Eukaryota; Metazoa; Chordata; Actinopteri; Gobiiformes; Gobiidae
Source: RNAcentral
AUCAAACCUUGUUAAACUGAUCUCGUCCGAUCUCAGAAGCUAAACAGGGUUGGGCCUGGUUAGUACUUGGAUGGGAGACCAUGAGGAAAACCCAGUG